Molecule: ribosomal RNA, 506 nt
Filed under: Thermoactinomyces sp. CICC 10522
Lineage: Bacteria; Bacillati; Bacillota; Bacilli; Caryophanales; Thermoactinomycetaceae
Also listed under: 1 other name
Description: partial 23S ribosomal RNA
Rfam family: Bacterial large subunit ribosomal RNA
Source: RNAcentral
GUCUGUCGGGGUUGUAGGACGUCUCACACGGAGUGAGAAAGGCGAGGGAUAGGUGAAGUGGUUCUGGAAAGACCCGCGAUAAAAGGUAACAGCCCUGUAACCGAAAUCCUUCGCCCUCCGAGACGGAUCCUGAGUACCGCGGGACACGUGAAACCCCGUGGGAAGCUGGGAGGACCACCUCCCAAGGCUAAAUACUCCCUGGCGACCGAUAGUGAACCAGUACCGUGAGGGAAAGGUGAAAAGCACCCCGGGAGGGGAGUGAAAGAGAACCUGAAACCGUGUGCUUACAAUCAGUCGGAGCUCCUUUGAGGAGUGACGGCGUGCCUUUUGUAGAAUGAACCGGCGAGUGACGGUUGCGUGCGAGGUUAAGGUGAGAAGCCGGAGCCGCAGCGAAAGCGAGUCUGAACAGGGCGCAUGAGUACGUAGUCGUCGACCCGAAACCGGGUGAUCUACCCAUGUCCAGGGUGAAGUUCCGGUAACACGGAAUGGAGGCCCGAACCUUUUGG